AGAGUUUGAUCCUGGCUCAGGACGAACGCUGGCGGCGUGCUUAACACAUGCAAGUCGAGGGCGGGCAGCAAUGCCUGACCGGCGAACGGGUGCGUAACACGUGAGCGACCUUCCGUCUUCUGGGGGAUAGCCGGCCCAACGGCCGGGUAAUACCGCAUACGCUCUUUUGCUCGCAUGGGCGAGAGAGGAAACUUCCGGGGGAGGACGAGGGGCUCGCGGCCUAUCAGCUAGUUGGUGCGGUAACGGCGCACCAAGGCGACGACGGGUAGCUGGUCUGAGAGGAUGGCCAGCCACAUUGGGACUGAGAGACGGCCCAGACUCCUACGGGAGGCAGCAGUGGGGAAUCUUGCGCAAUGGCCGAAAGGCUGACGCAGCGACGCCGCGUGUGGGAGGAAGCUCUUCGGGGUGUAAACCACUGUUGCCCGGGACGAACAGCCUCUUUCGAGGGGCCUGACGGUACCGGGUGAGGAAGCACCGGCUAACUCUGUGCCAGCAGCCGCGGUAAUACAGAGGGUGCGAGCGUUGUCCGGAAUCACUGGGCGUAAAGGGCGCGUAGGUGGUGGCUUAAGCGUGCGGUGAAAGCUCGGAGCUCAACUCCGAGUCGGCCGUGCGAACUGGGCUCACUGGAGCAUAGUAGAGGCAGGUGGAAUUCCGGGUGUAGCGGUGGAAUGCGUAGAGAUCCGGAAGAACACCGGUGGCGAAGGCGGCCUGCUGGGCUAUGGCUGACACUGAGGCGCGACAGCGUGGGGAGCAAACAGGAUUAGAUACCCUGGUAGUCCACGCCGUAAACGAUGGGCACUAGGUGCUUGGGGGAGCGACCCCCUGGGUGCCGGCGCUAACGCAUGAAGUGCCCCGCCUGGGGAGUACGGCCGCAAGGCUGAAACUCAAAGGAAUUGACGG
RNAcentral lists this ribosomal RNA (900 nucleotides) under uncultured Chloroflexota bacterium. RNAcentral's name for it is "SSU rRNA". It matches the Rfam family "Bacterial small subunit ribosomal RNA", at positions 8 to 916 of the family's 1533-position model. Lineage: Bacteria; Bacillati; Chloroflexota. The record is from RNAcentral.